UACGUAGGUGGCGAGCGUUAUCCGGAAUCAUUGGGCGUAAAGAGGGAGCAGGCGGCCGCAAGGGUCUGUGGUGAAAGACCGAAGCUAAACUUCGGUAAGCCAUGGAAACCGGGCGGCUAGAGUACGGAAGAGGAUCGUGGAAUUCCAUGUGUAGCGGUGAAAUGCGUAGAUAUAUGGAGGAACACCAGUGGCGAAGGCGACGGUCUGGGCCGCAACUGACGCUCAUUCCCGAAAGCGUGGGGAGCAAAUAGG
This 252-nucleotide ribosomal RNA is filed under the name Catenibacterium mitsuokai DSM 15897. Its description in RNAcentral is "partial 16S ribosomal RNA". It matches the Rfam family "Bacterial small subunit ribosomal RNA", at positions 524 to 776 of the family's 1533-position model. Lineage: Bacteria; Bacillati; Bacillota; Erysipelotrichia; Erysipelotrichales; Coprobacillaceae. The record is from RNAcentral.